RNAcentral lists this long non-coding RNA (221 nucleotides) under Gallus gallus (chicken). Lineage: Eukaryota; Metazoa; Chordata; Aves; Galliformes; Phasianidae. The record is from RNAcentral.
GUCCUUGACCAGCAGCCGGCGGAUGAAGUCCUUGGCCAACUCGCUGGUGCUGCUGAAGUACUCCUCAUCGAAGUCGUAGUUGACGGCGGAGAUGUUGGUGAGGGUCUCCUGCUUCGUUUCCCCCAGGAAGGGGGACGCCCCGCUCAGCAGGAUGUAAGUGAUGACCCCAAUGCUCCACAUGUCGGCCUCCAGCCCCAGCGGCUCGUAGUUCACGAUUUCUG